RNAcentral lists this ribosomal RNA (371 nucleotides) under uncultured organism. RNAcentral describes it as "partial 16S ribosomal RNA". It matches the Rfam family "Bacterial small subunit ribosomal RNA", at positions 527 to 896 of the family's 1533-position model. The record is from RNAcentral.
GUAGGUGGCAAGCGUUGUCCGGAAUUAUUGGGCGUAAAGCGCGCGCAGGCGGUUCUUUAAGUCUGAUGUGAAAGCCCACGGGCUCAACCGUGGAGGGUCAUUGGAAACUGGAGAACUUGAGUACAGAAGAGGAAAGCGGAAUUCCACGUGUAGCGGUGAAAUGCGUAGAGAUGUGGAGGAACACCAGUGGCGAAGGCGGCUUUCUGGUCUGUAACUGACGCUGAGGCGCGAAAGCGUGGGGAGCAAACAGGAUUAGAUACCCUGGUAGUCCACGCCGUAAACGAUGAGUGCUAAGUGUAGGGGGUUUCCGCCCCUUAGUGCUGCAGCUAACGCAUUAAGCACUCCGCCUGGGGAGUACGGCCGCAAGGCUG